RNAcentral lists this transfer RNA (72 nucleotides) under Sphaerodactylus townsendi. RNAcentral describes it as "tRNA-Ser". The record is from RNAcentral. Lineage: Eukaryota; Metazoa; Chordata; Lepidosauria; Squamata; Sphaerodactylidae.
AGGGAUGGGCCACGGCAGUAGAGCUUCUGCUUGCUGUGCAGAAGGUCUUGGGUUCAAUCCCCAGCAUUUCCA